AUUGAACGCUGGCGGCAUGCCUUACACAUGCAAGUCGAACGGCAGCACGGGAGCAAUCCUGGUGGCGAGUGGCGAACGGGUGAGUAAAGUAUCGGAACGUGCCCAGUCGUGGGGGAUAACGUAGCGAACGUUACGCUAAUACCGCAUACGAUUUAUGGAUGAAAGCGGGGGAUCGCAAGACCUCGCGCGAUUGGAGCGGCCGGUAUCAGAUUAGGUAGUUGGUGGGGUAAAGGCUCACCAAGCCGACGAUCGGUCGCUGGUCUGAGAGGACGACCAGCCACACUGGGACUGAGACACGGCCCAGACUCCGACGGGAGGCAGCAGUGGGGAAUGUUGUACAAUGUGCGAAAGCCUGAUCCAGCCAUGCCGCGUGCAGGAUGAAGGCCUUCUGGUUGUAAACUGCUUUUGUACGGAACGAAAAGGUUUGGCCUAAUAAGCUGAGCUCAUGACGGUACCGUAAGAAUAAGCACCGGCUAACUACGUGCCAGCCGCCGCGGUAA
RNAcentral lists this ribosomal RNA (500 nucleotides) under uncultured bacterium. Its description in RNAcentral is "partial 16S ribosomal RNA". It matches the Rfam family "Bacterial small subunit ribosomal RNA", at positions 30 to 523 of the family's 1533-position model. The record is from RNAcentral.